Non-coding RNA from Theobroma cacao (cacao), 708 nucleotides. NCBI's taxonomy places the organism in Eukaryota, Viridiplantae, Streptophyta, Magnoliopsida, Malvales, Malvaceae. The record is from RefSeq and is a predicted model, not a curated record.
AAGGAACACAGCUCAACGACACCUGGACGCUGAACGUGCAGCCGUCAUUGGUCGUACACGUGGCACCUUUCAACGGCCAAAAGUGGGGUUUCACAACCCUGUUAAAUUGUGUUGUCUAACGCUAUUAUUAGCCAGAGUGGCCGUUUCUUCGUUAAGAUUCUCAAGUCUCUGCUUCUCUUUUUAAGGCCCCGAAGUCUAAAGUUUCCAAGCAGCAGCAGGGGUUAUCAAAAAGUUCGCCAGUAGAAGCAAAAAAAAAAAAAAAGAAGCUAGAAUUUUAGGUUGAAGAUAGAAUGGAUAUGUUAAGAGUUCAGUUUGCAGUAAUGGCCAUUUUCGCAUUUAUAUUGGCCCUGCUUAUACCUUCCAUCAACGCUCAAAGCCCCGCUCCUGCACCUCCUCCUACAAGCGAUGGGGUAGCAGUUGAUCAGGGGAUUGCUUAUGUUUUAAUGCUGGUAGCUCUGGUGCUCACAUAUAUCAUUCAUUGACAUCAUGCCAAUAUAUGAAUAUGUCGUGAUUGAGCCAUGAAUUAUAUGAAAUUAAUGUGUUAUAGGUCUUGUACUAAUUCUUUUCUCUCCAGAAUUUCGCUUUCUUGUUCAGUUGCUAGCUUGUAAUUUUUCUGUUUCUUUGCAAUUGCAAAUAUUUUUUUUUCUUCAGUAUUUCCUUCAAAAGAGCAUGAAUAAUGACAAAGGCAAACGGUUUCCUCCGCUCCAA